Molecule: transfer RNA, 71 nt
Filed under: Cordylochernes scorpioides
Lineage: Eukaryota; Metazoa; Arthropoda; Arachnida; Pseudoscorpiones; Chernetidae
Description: tRNA-Gly
Source: RNAcentral
UGCAUCAGCCGGGAAUCGAACCCGGGCUGCCCGCGUGGCAGGCGAGCAUUCUACCACGGAACCACUGAUGC